Molecule: long non-coding RNA, 544 nt
Organism: Apis cerana (Asiatic honeybee)
Lineage: Eukaryota; Metazoa; Arthropoda; Insecta; Hymenoptera; Apidae
Source: RefSeq, a predicted model, not a curated record
UUGAUAAAUCGGUUGGUAACAACGGUCCAGACCUGUAUCCAAGAAACCGUGGCCAAACGAGUAAACGACCAGCUGUUGCCCGUUAGUGAACCUUCUUUCUUCCUUCGUUUCUUCUUCCACGCCACCUCUUCUUCCUCUCCCCCCUUUUUCUUCUUCUUUUUGCUUCUUUUUCUUCUUCGUGACAUAAACGCUCCAUUGCCAUCGUCGAGUUCGAUCACCUCGAAUAAUAGUGGUUCUCAAAUGACGUACGACGUCAGAAAAAAAUAGAUAAAUAAACAAAUAAAAUGGCCGAUCGAUACUAAGAAGAUGCGUAUAAUGAAAAUAUAUUGAAAAUUUGUAUCGAAACCGGGAAAGAAAAACUGGAAGAGAGUUUAAUCUAACUGGGCAAGCUUUAACACGGAGAAAGGUUUCUUAAAAGAUUAAACGCAGGGAUUAAAAGGGGAAUUACGUCGUAUCGAUUGCACCCUAACGAAUUCCAAGUAUGUAAACGAUGUAUUCGUUUGAUUCGUAACCGCGUUGCAUAAUAAAAGAUCGUAAGAAUUAA